GUUGACCUCGGAUCAGGUAGGAAUACCCGCUGAACUUAAGCAUAUCAAUAC
Molecule: ribosomal RNA, 51 nt
Filed under: Colletotrichum magnum
Lineage: Eukaryota; Fungi; Ascomycota; Sordariomycetes; Glomerellales; Glomerellaceae
Also listed under: 1 other name
Description: partial 28S ribosomal RNA
Source: RNAcentral